RNAcentral lists this transfer RNA (61 nucleotides) under Camelus ferus (Wild Bactrian camel). It matches the Rfam family "tRNA", at positions 6 to 65 of the family's 71-position model. Rfam says of the family: Transfer RNA (tRNA) molecules are approximately 80 nucleotides in length. The record is from Rfam by way of RNAcentral. Lineage: Eukaryota; Metazoa; Chordata; Mammalia; Artiodactyla; Camelidae.
UAUAGCUCAGUGGUAGAGCACAUACUUUUCAUGCGCGAGGUCCUGGGUUCAAUCCCCAGUA